This 85-nucleotide transfer RNA is filed under the name Felis catus (domestic cat). It matches the Rfam family "tRNA". Rfam says of the family: Transfer RNA (tRNA) molecules are approximately 80 nucleotides in length. Their secondary structure includes four short double-helical elements and three loops (D, anti-codon, and T loops). RNAcentral also lists the same sequence under 2 other names. The record is from Rfam by way of RNAcentral. Lineage: Eukaryota; Metazoa; Chordata; Mammalia; Carnivora; Felidae.
GCUUGGGUGGUUCAGUCGGUUGAACGUCUGACUUCAGCUCAGAUCAUGAUCUAACAGUUAGUGAGUUCGAGUCCCACAUCGGGCU